CAACAAUCAAAACAGCGCCGUUUUGAUUCCAGAGAAAACAAAAACCCAAUGCUGACUUAUCCCCUUUCUUUCUCUAACAAACACACCCUCACCAACCCAGGAUUCUCCUAAACGGCGAAACCCUAUUAGAGCCACCAUCACCAUCUCCCCUUUCAUUCUGCUCUUCUCCUCGCGUCGCCAGAAGCUAAGGUCGGUUCGGGGCUGUUGUUGGCGUCGCCGUUUCUCUGUCCGAGCUCUCUGUCGCUCCUUCUUUGCUCUUCACCGUUGGUCGUUGCCGCUUCUCCACUCCUCGCCGUGGGUCGUCACUGCUUCUCCCCUCCUUGCCGUGUCGUUUCUUCUUCUCACCUCCUCGUCGUUUUUGGAUGUGGCCCCUUCUCGUCUCCCCGCCAUUCUUGUCGUCGCUUCUCUGUUUCACGUUACCAAAAUUCCCAAUUUGAAUUUCUCUAUCUCGCUGGCUCUAUGCUGUCUUUUCCUCUCCUUCAUUAAAUCCAGAUAACGUAAAACAUCCCCUUUAUCCUCUUCAGUCUUCAAUAAUGUUCAAUUUGUUGUAAUUGUAUUACAUUGUUUUCUUCUUUAUUUUGUUCUGAAUAUACGUAUGAUAAAUUAUUGAUGAUUCUGCUGAGUUUUGAGAUAUGUUUUAUUUGAAUUCAGUCAGUUGAUGUUGAAUUAAUUCUGCCAAGAUUGAGUUAUAAAUUUACUUUUUUUUAGUUUAAUUUAUUAAUUAUGCUGAGAUUAUAUUUGCUGAGAUUGAUAUUGAAUUAAUUCUACUGAGAUUGGGUUAUAAAUCCAAUCUGUUUUUCUUGUUAUUUUGGUAAAUUGUUAUUUUGCUGUCAUUGAUUCAAAAGAGAAACAUUGCUACAAUUCUGCAUUGGAUUUACUCUAUGGCUUUAAAAUAAGGGUUGGAUGAAGUUCAGACAAGGAGAUAGUUUAUUCAUAGGAAAAGAGAAUGAAGUUAAGAAGUAAAGAACAAAAAGAUUACCUAAUUUAUGAAAAUGGAAAAUUCAGGAAUGGAAACCUAAUUUAUAAAGGUUAUUCAUGCUUUUAUAUUGUGUUUUUUUUGUUUAGUUAAUUUAAUUGUCAGUUUUUGUGCAUUCUGAGCUUCUUACUGUGUUGUGGAAUUGCUUCUUCUUGUUCAAAUUGAAGACUAUACUGACUUCUUUUUCUCCCUGCACCAUACUAAAAUUUGUGGCCUCAAAUUUAGGUAGCCUACAAUGGAUCAUUAUCUUCUAUUAUAUCUGGAACUGAUAUUGUUUGACCAAGCUUAGAAGUUGCUAAUGUGUUAUAUAUAUAUGAAGAUUGAGAAACUUAAAUGAAAGAACCAAGCUUCGACCAAUUUUAAUUCAUACAAUGCUUUAAUUGCUCUGCACCUUAUCUCACAAUAUAUGCCACUUUGAAUUUUUAAUAAUUUUAUGUUAUAUUUGACACUACCAGCCAUUGACUAAGGAGACCUACCCUGUGAUGAUGCAUUUGGGAUUUUCGAAACAGGUGCAAUUGCAAUAGGUGUAGGAGCAAUUGCUGCAUUUGAAACAAUAAUAAUUAGUUGGUGUACAAAUGCAUUGUAAAUUCAUUAAGUCUAUCACUAUUUUUUCUUUUUGGAAAAUUCUAUGGUGUGAAUUGAAUAAAAUGUCCACAGUACGGAUCAUGUGUGGUUUGCUUCCUUGGAUAGCAAUUCUUGUUUUGCUUGAUCAAUUUUCAUUUGGCCAACCCAAGCUGAAUUUUAUAUGCAAACUUUUCUGUUUCAUUUUUUUUGUUAAAUGAGAGGAAAUUGCAAGAGUUAUAAAGAGAAUGAUGGAGGAGAAUGAAGAAGGUUUGCAAAUGAGAAAGAGAAUCAAACAGUUGAGUGAUGCUGCACUCACUCAAAAUGGUUUAUCUCUACUAAGGCAUUCUCUACUCUUACACAUAAAUGGAAAAUUGUUUAGUGGCAUUUAUAAAGGAAUAAUGCAUGUAACUUGUCAAAACAACCCAAGUUUGUGAUCCUUUUUUUUUAAUAUCAAUAGCAUGCUUGAAAGCUUUUGAAUGUUAAUGCAGUUGCUUAUUCUAAUUUGAGGUUACUUAAUGACUAAUCUUCUUUGGUUUAUUUUUAGGGUACAGUGUGGUAUUAGCAGGAUUGCUUUCUACCUUAAAAUUAGUUAGGGGAACCUUAGCAGGAUUGCUUUCUACCUUAAAAUUAGUUAGGGGAACCUUAGCUGACGGCUGACCAUACCUUCUUAUUUUUGGGUGCUAGAGAGGAUCUCCACUAUGGUUGAGGGAGAAACUUCCCACUUAGAACUGAACCAAACAACUCCAGUGGUCAGAGUCUCGGUUACAUAGAUGAUCAUAAGCAAAGGAGAGUGGAAAGAAUCGGAUUUUUGGACGGUACCAUCAUGUAUUCAACUUUUCAAACAGAUUGUAAGGUGGUGCAAGUACCAAACAUGAACCAGAAAUUAAUAGACCACAUGUGCCAACGAUUUGAUCUGUCGUCAGGAAAAUUGUAUGUCAGGAUUCUUCCCACUAUAAAGCGUUUUAAAGACGCAGAUUAUACAUACUUCUGUUAUAAGAAAACUUUUUCAGUUUACAUGAGGCUGGGCAAAAAAAUUUUGUGGCACUCAAGAAGGCUUGCCGUGGAUUUAUUACAGGACUGGUGAAUCUUCACCAGUCAGGUAAGGUCCACGGUAAUAUUACUCGUUACGAUUUAGUAACGAGUAAUGGCGAUGGGUAUCUAGGAGGAGGAAACUUAUAUUACAGAUAGAUGGGGAGUUCCAAGGUUGGUUACUGAUCCUUUCAAGAAGGAUAUGUUUGACCUUGCAAAAGCGCUCGAGAAUUGUUUCAAAGACAGAGAUCUUCUCAACUAUCCUGAUGAUAAUCUUGGAAUGUUCAUCAAUUAUUUGAAGAACAACAAUAUACUGAACCCAAUAACAUUCCAUCCGUAUGUUUUAGUUUCAAUGGAAGUCCGUAGUCUUUAUGUUAUAGUUGAAGAAGAUUUUAGACAAAUGUGCCCUGUCACUUUGAACGCGAGAUUCAAGACCCUUAGAUGCGUUAGGAAUUAUCGAACAAAUGGCUGGCAUAGUGUUGUAAUGAGCUCGGGCGACCCAAUUCUGCUUACAGUUUUUAUGCGUCCAAAUUCAAAUUAUCGAGAUGAUGAUAGGAAUUUAGUUAGGUUUUUUAGAAACAUUUGGGUGCACGCAGUAAAGGAUGCUAAGAUCUCGUGUAUGAGAUAGCACAUACCAAGCAAGGGAGAAAAAUACUUUAGGUAAUUUGUAGGGAUGAUUGUUUAUAUAUAAUUAUGUUUAUGAACUUGUGGUUUAAGUUUAUUCUUUUGUUUCUAUAUGUUCUGAGAUCAAAUGAACUGUGGUUGAAUAUAAUGUGCUUGAAUAUAAUACUCUGUAG
Molecule: long non-coding RNA, 3366 nt
Organism: Arachis stenosperma
Lineage: Eukaryota; Viridiplantae; Streptophyta; Magnoliopsida; Fabales; Fabaceae
Exons: 4
Source: RefSeq, a predicted model, not a curated record